AGAGCAGUUUCCUUGGGGGAGGAGCCAGGUGUGAGCUAUACAUGGCUAGCCAAGUCCUGGGUUGGUGCUACUCAUCCGGCAUGAAACCUCUUUGGGGAUUAUUCUCCUAACUCAGCAGAGUGGAGGGAUUAACCUGUCACAGCUGGACAGAUCAGCCUGACAUCACACCUGGAAGCCAGGUCUUAAAGCCCAGGGCGGGUUGCAGCUUCCAGGUUGGUUUCCAAGCUAAGGAAAUCUAAACUUACCUGAUGAUGUGAAGUAACGAAUUACUGAAACCUUCCUUCAAGCCAAUCAACCAACAAAGAAAUAUGCUAAGAUGGGUGUGAGCCAGGAAAUGCCAGUCAAACAGGUGCCUGUUGGGGAAAUAUGAUAACCAGAAACCCCGUGCAAAUGUUUCCCAGACCAAAUCUCCUUUGGACUCCACUAUGCACUUCCUGGACGGAGCAUGGGCACAAUGAGGGCGCCCUCUGCUGGCAGCACGAGUAUUUUCAGCGAUUUGCAUGCCAAGUUGAAGGAGUCUACAGGAAUAGAAUUUGAAAGAAUUAGAAAAGUUCAAAGGAAGCUUAUUAGGCCCGCCUCCAUUUUUAUAAAUGGCAAUAAAGUCCGACAUAACCAUGAUGUGAAAGUAAAAUACAUAAAUAUAGGGUUCUGUUAUAUUGUAUACCUGGACAAGUUUAGAAGGGAGCAGAGUUUGCUGUUUGAGGCAGAGAGGGAAAGUUGAUGACCAGAGAGGGAGAAGAGAAAUGCUGGAGAGACAUCUUUGAGUAGAUGAGAGACAAUGGGAAUUGUCUGACGGACAAAUAAGGGUGUGGUUCUCUGCUAGGAUCAUUGGCUGUUCAUCCUCUAACAGGAGGGAAGGCAGAGGGUAGACACAGGUAGAUGGGUAGGUGUCAUAGUGAGAGUUGGUGGAAGGUUGCUUUUGCUUUUACAGUGAAAUGGGAAGCAAAUUCAUCAGCUGAGAGUGAGUUUGCAGGAGGAGAGAGGGAAAACUGAAGCAGUCAUCCAGGAGAAUGAGAGAAUGAUUACACCAGAGAGAUGGAGUGGGAUUGCCCAGCAGCAGGAAAGAGUAUGGAGUCAUGAAUUCAAAGUGUAACCAGUGGAGAUGCCACUUCUGCUUGGGAUGAAGAAAGCUAUAAAUAUUACCCCAUCUUAACCUGCUACGCAAUCAGUUUUUCUCAAACCCAUCAGAGAACUGAGAUCACAAGGCAGCUAACUACCAGAAUUCCAAAGAGAGUUAAAGCCUUGUGAGGAGAGAUGGAACUCACUCACGGUGUCACCUGGAGUAGAGCAUGGGAGAGAGGGCCAGCAGGUGCAAGUGGGGAACGAGAAAUAAGCUUAAGUUUUAACCAACUGCUGAUGGCCCCGUGUGGGCUAGUGCAUCGGUCCAAAACAGUUGGGUGCUCCAGACACAGGGCAGUCUGCGCUCCCUCACUCACAAGCCUUCCCCUGGAUGCUCCUGAGGAGGAUGACAGGCAGGCAGGAGCCGGGAGAAAGGCUUCCUCCACAGUGCAGGCACACAGAAGGUAACUGAUGGCUGUGUGGGGACGGGUCCUCAG
Molecule: long non-coding RNA, 1556 nt
Filed under: Equus caballus (horse)
Lineage: Eukaryota; Metazoa; Chordata; Mammalia; Perissodactyla; Equidae
Description: lncRNA (ENSECAG00000046813.1)
Source: RNAcentral